RNAcentral lists this small RNA (29 nucleotides) under Bombyx mori (domestic silkworm). RNAcentral describes it as "ovarian small RNA-29772". Lineage: Eukaryota; Metazoa; Arthropoda; Insecta; Lepidoptera; Bombycidae. The record is from RNAcentral.
UCUCGGUAAACAAAAGUACUAAUUAUUGA